CCUACGGGAGGCAGCAGUGGGGGAUAUUGCACAAUGGGGGGAACCCUGAUGCAGCGACGCCGCGUGGGUGAAGGAGUGCUUCGGCAUGUAAAGCCCUAUCGGCAGGGAAGAAGCAAGACGGUACCUGACUAAGAAGCCCCGGCGAACUACGUGCCAGCAGCCGCGGUAAUACGUAGGGGGCGAGCGUUAUCCGGAUUCACUGGGUGUAAAGGGAGCGUAGACGGCCAUGCAAGCCAUGGGUGAAAGCCCGGGGCCCAACCCCGGGACUGCCCUUGGAACUGUGCGGCUAGAGUGCGGGAGGGGCAGGCGGAAUUCCUGGUGUAGCGGUGAAAUGCGUAGAUAUCAGGAGGAACACCGGCGGCGAAGGCGGCCUGCUGGACCGCGACUGACGUUGAGGCUCGAAAGCGUGGGGAGCGAACAGGAUUAGAUACCCCGGUAGUC
Molecule: ribosomal RNA, 441 nt
Filed under: uncultured bacterium
Lineage: Bacteria
Description: partial 16S ribosomal RNA
Rfam family: Bacterial small subunit ribosomal RNA
Source: RNAcentral